GGGAAAAGGAUUGGCUCUGAGGGUCGGGCCUGGGAGUCCUUGCCUGGGGGUGGUGCGCGGCUGCUGGCGGACUGGCCUUCACGGGCUGGACUGCUGGCGGCUGCUGCUGCCUCUAGCAGGGAAGCGCUGUCUGCCUUCGGGUGGGCAGUGCGCUUCCCAGUGCGCUGAACGACCAGCUCAGAACUGGAGCGGACAAGGGGAAUCCGACUGUUU
This 213-nucleotide ribosomal RNA is filed under the name Tetraselmis sp. GSL018. RNAcentral describes it as "partial Eukaryotic large subunit ribosomal RNA". It matches the Rfam family "Eukaryotic large subunit ribosomal RNA", at positions 1938 to 2143 of the family's 3401-position model. Lineage: Eukaryota; Viridiplantae; Chlorophyta; Chlorodendrophyceae; Chlorodendrales; Chlorodendraceae. The record is from RNAcentral.